RNAcentral lists this ribosomal RNA (425 nucleotides) under uncultured bacterium. Its description in RNAcentral is "partial 16S ribosomal RNA". It matches the Rfam family "Bacterial small subunit ribosomal RNA", at positions 354 to 796 of the family's 1533-position model. The record is from RNAcentral.
GUGGGGAAUCUUGCGCAAUGGGCGAAAGCCUGACGCAGCCAUGCCGCGUGAAUGAUGAAGGUCUUAGGAUUGUAAAAUUCUUUCACCGGGGACGAUAAUGACGGUACCCGGAGAAGAAGCUCCGGCUAACUUCGUGCCAGCAGCCGCGGUAAUACGAAGGGGGCUAGCGUUGCUCGGAAUUACUGGGCGUAAAGGGCGCGUAGGCGGACAGCUUAGUCAGAGGUGAAAGCCCAGGGCUCAACCUUGGAAUUGCCUUUGAUACUGGCUGUCUUGAGUUUGUGAGAGGUGAGUGGAACUCCGAGUGUAGAGGUGAAAUUCGUAGAUAUUCGGAAGAACACCAGUGGCGAAGGCGACUCACUGGCCCAAUACUGACGCUGAGGCGCGAAAGCGUGGGGAGCAAACAGGAUUAGAAACCCCGGUAGUCC